Molecule: ribosomal RNA, 485 nt
Filed under: uncultured Acidobacteriota bacterium
Lineage: Bacteria; Pseudomonadati; Acidobacteriota
Description: bacterial SSU rRNA
Rfam family: Bacterial small subunit ribosomal RNA
Source: RNAcentral
UCGGGAAUUUUGCGCAAUGGACGAAAGUCUGACGCAGCAACGCCGCGUGAGGGAUGACGGCCUUCGGGUUGUAAACCUCUUUGUCAGGGACGAUGAUGACGGUACCUGACGAAUAAGCCACGGCUAACUACGUGCCAGCAGCCGCGGUAAUACGUAGGUGGCAAGCGUUGUCCGGAUUUACUGGGCGUAAAGAGCGCGCAGGCGGUCGUUCAAGUCGCGUGUGAAGCCCCCGGCUCAACUGGGGAGGGUCACGCGAUACUGAUCGACUCGAAGGCAGGAGAGGGUAGUGGAAUUCCCGGUGUAGUGGUGAAAUGCGUAGAUAUCGGGAGGAACACCAGUGGCGAAGGCGACUACCUGGCCUGUUCUUGACGCUGAGGCGCGAAAGCUAGGGGAGCAAACGGGAUUAGAUACCCCGGUAGUCCUAGCCGUAAACGAUGGACACUAGGUGCGUGGUGGUAUCAACCCCGCAGUGCCGAAGCUAACGC